This 515-nucleotide ribosomal RNA is filed under the name Nevskia sp. Iso-59. RNAcentral describes it as "bacterial SSU rRNA". It matches the Rfam family "Bacterial small subunit ribosomal RNA", at positions 530 to 1046 of the family's 1533-position model. Lineage: Bacteria; Pseudomonadati; Pseudomonadota; Gammaproteobacteria; Nevskiales; Nevskiaceae. The record is from RNAcentral.
GAGCCCAACCGUUAUCGGAUUUACUGGGCGUAAGCGUGCGUAGGCGGUUUGAUAAGUCGAUUGUGAAAGCCCCGGGCUCAACCUGGGAAUUGCGGUCGAUACUGUCAGACUCGAAAACGGUAGAGGGAGGCGGAACUCCAGGUGUAGCGGUGAAAUGCGUAGAUAUCUGGAAGAACACCGAUGGCGAAGGCAACCUCCUGGGCCUGUUUUGACGCUGAGGCACGAAAGCGUGGGUAGCAAACAGGAUUAGAUACCCUGGUAGUCCACGCCGUAAACGAUGAGAACUUGACGUUGGUUUGCUUAGCAAAUCGGUGUCGUAGCUAACGCGAUAAGUUCUCCGCCUGGGGAGUACGGCCGCAAGGUUGAAACUCAAAGGAAUUGACGGGGGCCCGCACAAGCGGUGGAGUAUGUGGUUUAAUUCGAUGCAACGCGAAGAACCUUACCUGGUCUUGACAUGUCAAGGAGUCUGCAGAGAUGCGGAUGUGCCUUCGGGAACUUGAACACAGGUGCUGCAU